GUCUACGGCCAUGCCACCAUGAACGUGCCCAAUCUCAUCUGAUCUCAGAAGCUAAGCAGGGUUGAGUCUGGUUAGUACUUGGAUGGGAGACCACCUAGGAGCCGCAGGCAUUGUAAACU
Molecule: ribosomal RNA, 119 nt
Filed under: Pteropus alecto (black flying fox)
Lineage: Eukaryota; Metazoa; Chordata; Mammalia; Chiroptera; Pteropodidae
Source: RNAcentral